CCUAGGAACUUUCUUUAAGUGGAGCAUAACUCCGCGAAAGCGGAGAUAAUACUCCAUGUGAUCGCAAGAUCAAAGCCACGCAAGUGGCGCUUAAAGUGAGGCCUGGGCACCAUCAGCUAGUUGGUAAGGUAAUGGCUUACCAAGGCUAUGACGGUUAGGGGUCCCGAGAGGGAUAACCCCCACACUGGAACUGCGACACGGUCCAGACUCCUACGGGAGGCAGCAGUUUGGAAUUUUGGACAAUGGGCGAAAGCCUGAUCCAGCGACGCCGCGUGGACGAUGAAGGCCUUCGGGUUGUAAAGUCCUUUUGCUCGGGAACAAUAUUUUGAGCGUACCGAGAGAAUAAGAGGUUGCUAACUCUGUGCCAGCAGCAGCGGUAAUACAGAGACCUCAAGCGUUAUCCGGAAUCAUUGGGCGUAAAGCGUACCGAUAGGUGGUUUUGCAAGUCAGAAGUGAAAUCUCUCAGCUUAACUGGGAGACUGUCUUUUGAAACUGCAAAACUUGAGGGGCAAAGAGGAAGCUGGAACAAACGGUGUAGUAGUGAAAUGCGUUGAUAUCGUUUGGAACACCAAUAGCGUAGGCAGGCUUCUGGGUGCCACCUGACACUGCUAGGACGAAAGCGUGGGGAGCGAUAAGGAUUAGAUACCCUUGUAGUCCACGCUGUAAACGAUGAUGAUUAGGUGCUAGGGAGUAUCGACCCUUCUUAGUACCAUAGCUAACGCGUUAAAUCAUCCGCCUGGGGAGUACGGCCGCAAGGCUAAAACUCAAAGGAAUUGACGGGGACCUGCACAAGCGGUGGAGCAUGUGGUUUAAUUCGACGAUAAGCGAGGAACCUUACCAAGGCUUGACAUGUAGCUGCAUCCCUCAGAAAUGAGGGCGCCUUCGAGGGUGCUACACAGGUGCUGCACGGUUGUCGUCAGCUCGUGCCGUGAGGUGUUCACUUAAGUGUGAAAACGAGCGCAACCCCUACGGUGAGUUACAAGUGUCUCACAGAACUGCCCGCGUUUAAGCGGGAGGAAGGUGGGGAUGACGUCAAAUCAGCGUGGCUCUUACGCCUUGGGCGACACACGUGCUACAAUGGGCAGAACAAAGGGACGCCAAGUCGCAAGACGGAGCAAAUC
This 1121-nucleotide ribosomal RNA is filed under the name uncultured bacterium. RNAcentral describes it as "bacterial SSU rRNA". It matches the Rfam family "Bacterial small subunit ribosomal RNA", at positions 116 to 1273 of the family's 1533-position model. The record is from RNAcentral.